GCUUUGCUGUGAGCCUCUGGCCUGGUCAGGGCCAGGGASGCGGAGGGACGGCCGCUGUCCCCUGCCCCGGGGGACGGACACCUCCACGGCGACGCAGCCUUAGCUUUUCCCUUAGUGCUACCGUACGCUGCUAUGGAUCGCAAUGGCUUCUAUUUUCCAGAAUGUUUCUUUUUCAAACAAAGUAAUUACCAAUUAAUUGGCGAGGAGCUUUACUUCUAAUCCCCGAGCUCACAGGAGGGAAAUCUGGCCGUUUUUGUGGGUGCACGCGUGUGCGGCGGUGGCGAGCGCUUCAGGACUGCACCAUCUGGCUGUUUGAAAAUCAUUAGCAGGCGCCCAGUUUGGGAGCAGUUGUCCCGGAACGCGGCGGAUGAGGCAGAGGUUAGAGACACGGGCGACCGAUGGCAUAUGCAGAAGCCAAGCCAGCUGCCUUGCUCCAAGCCUCUUGACUGCCCCGGGAAGGGGAAAACCUCCGCCUGGUUUCCGAUCAGCAGCAGGAUCCUUGGCAGAGGGCACCGGCUUCGCCUCUGUCCGCGAUGCUGACAGAGCGGAGCCUCCUGAGCCUGGUAUUUGGGGAAAAAAAUACCCA
Molecule: long non-coding RNA, 586 nt
Filed under: Apteryx rowi (Okarito brown kiwi)
Lineage: Eukaryota; Metazoa; Chordata; Aves; Apterygiformes; Apterygidae
Description: lncRNA (ENSARWG00000002501.1)
Source: RNAcentral